RNAcentral lists this ribosomal RNA (497 nucleotides) under uncultured bacterium. RNAcentral describes it as "partial 16S ribosomal RNA". It matches the Rfam family "Bacterial small subunit ribosomal RNA", at positions 28 to 507 of the family's 1533-position model. The record is from RNAcentral.
GAUGAACGCUGGCGGCGUGCCUAAUACAUGCGAGUCGAGCGAACGGACGAGAAGCUUGCUUCUCUGAUGUUAGCGGCGGACGGGUGAGUAACACGUGGAUAACCUACCUAUAAGACUGGGAUAACUUCGGGAAACCGGAGCUAAUACCGGAUAAUAUUUUGAACCGCAUGGUUCAAAAGUGAAAGACGGUCUUGCUGUCACUUAUAGAUGGAUCCGCGCUGCAUUAGCUAGUUGGUAAGGUAACGGCUUACCAAGGCAACGAUGCAUAGCCGACCUGAGAGGGCGAUCGGCCACACUGGAACUGAGACACGGUCCAGACUCCUACGGGAGGCAGCAGUAGGGAAUCUUCCGCAAAGGGCGAAAGCCUGACGGAGCAACGCCGCGUGAGUGAUGAAGGUCUUCGGAUCGUAAAACUCUGUUAUUAGGGAAGAACAUAUGUGUAAGUAACUGUGCACAUCUUGACGGUACCUAAUCAGAAAGCCACGGCUAACUACGUG